GCUGUUUUCCAGAAAUCGUCUCUCAGAGACCCACUGUCAGUUGCCAAAGGAGGUUAACCCGAACCGUCUGAAGAACUAGUGACCAUACAAAUCCCAGAGGUGCCUCAGCCCUCAGUAAAAAUGGGAACUGCCACCGUUUCCCAUUUGCCCUUCGUGGGGUAGCCGCCAGUAAUUGGCACACGCUUUGUAAGGAAGCAGAAACGUGGAGAGACAGAGCCACCUUCCCAAAGCUACAUGGUUACUUAGCAGCCCUGCCAAUGGCAUUCAGUCCUUCCAACUUCCACCUCCGCAGCCGGGCCGUGGCACUGAGGACGGGCCCCGCUAUUUCCCAGCUUUACGAACAGAGCCCUUUGCUGCAGGGGCCCUCCCUGUCUACAGAGGUGUGUGCCGAAGCCUGUAGAAGUCUUCCCGAGAUGCUACCAGGUAAAGCCACGGCCCAUUCCUGACAGACAGCCGUCACCUGGCAAGGCUGGGGUGCCAGGAGACUGGUGAUGGGGGACUGAGCCUGCCUCCCAGGGCUACCGCUGCCAACACAGCAGCAGUACUGGGACACCACGUGGGCUGGCAUUUGGCUUUCUCUUCUACUGCUAACAGAUGCCCUAAUUCCACAGCUCCAUCUAAAUCAGAAGAAAAAGGGCAUUUGAGUCUUAUGUUUGACUCAGCAGAAAAGUUUGUCUCACUAACAUAUUUUAUGGAAACAAAGAAGAAAAGAAAAAGAAAAAAAAAGGAGAGUUAGUAUAUUCAUUAAGAGUAAAGAAAGCCUAGAUCCAGGACAAUAUGUGUCCACGUGAGCUCAGGUUAUGCUGCUUUGGUUUACAGAGAGCUGGAUGUGACAUCCUAGGCAAACACUCAGGGCUCUUACAGAUUCCCUCAGCUCAGUGCGUUCUGUGGGGAAAUCACUCAGGC
Herpailurus yagouaroundi (jaguarundi) is the source of this 906-nucleotide long non-coding RNA. RefSeq lists it as uncharacterized. The record is from RefSeq and is a predicted model, not a curated record. Lineage: Eukaryota; Metazoa; Chordata; Mammalia; Carnivora; Felidae. The transcript has 2 exons.